GUUCAUCCAAGUCCCUUGGAGGCCAUUUCACCUUUUUCAACCAUUUGGCUUACAGUUCGUUCAAGUGCUGCCAAUUUCUUGGAGGCCAUUUCACCUUUAUCAACCAUUUGAGUAAUCUUACAGUUAAUUCAGGUGUUGCCAGUCUGUUGGACCAUUUCAGAAUUGUUGUUGGAGUCAUCUUACUAUUUCAACUGCUAGAGUAAAGUGCUGUGAGAAAGAACCAUGUCUCCCAUGCCGCCACUGAUGAUUCAUCUAUUCAUUCAUUUUCUUUUCGGCUUAGUCUCUUUAUUAAUCUGGGGUCGCCACAGCGGAAUGAACCACCAACUUAUCCAGCAUAUGUUUUACACAGCGGAUGCCCUUCCAGCUACAACCCAUCUCUGGGAAACAUCCAUACACACUCAUAAACUACGGACAAUUUAGCCUACCCAAUUCACCUGUAAUGCAUGUGUUUGGACUGUGGGGGAAACCAGAGCACCCGGAGCAAACCCACACAAACAUGUGGAAAACAUGUACCCUCCACACAGAAAUGCCAACUGACCCAGCCGGGGCUCGAACCAGCGACUGGUGAGACGACAGCACUACCUACGUCUUGCUGUGAGACGACAGCACUACCUACUGCGUCGCCGCCACUAAUGAUGUCAUUGUUUAACAUGUGAUACAAUGGUUCAACCUGGCAGCAGACAGGGGAAGCUCAAGGAGUUGCCCCACUGUCAGUACCUUGACUCAACAGUGAACUCUUUGAAAUGGUCAUUUAAAAUAGUACCAUUCUGUUCAGCAAAGUCUAUAAUUAAUUCUGCUUUUAAUCUCCUUUUACUCUUUUUCAUGUAGUAAAAUGCUUUUAUGAAGUAAAACAGUUAACGGUACAA
This is a long non-coding RNA of Danio aesculapii, 866 nucleotides long. RefSeq lists it as uncharacterized. The record is from RefSeq and is a predicted model, not a curated record. The transcript has 4 exons. NCBI's taxonomy places the organism in Eukaryota, Metazoa, Chordata, Actinopteri, Cypriniformes, Danionidae.